RNAcentral lists this ribosomal RNA (492 nucleotides) under uncultured bacterium. RNAcentral's name for it is "partial 16S ribosomal RNA". It matches the Rfam family "Bacterial small subunit ribosomal RNA", at positions 29 to 507 of the family's 1533-position model. The record is from RNAcentral.
AGUGAACGCUGGCGGUAGGCCUAACACAUGCAAGUCGAACGGCAGCACAGUAAGAGCUUGCUCUUACGGGUGGCGAGUGGCGGACGGGUGAGGAAUACAUCGGAAUCUACUUUUUCGUGGGGGAUAACGUAGGGAAACUUACACUAAUACCGCAUACGACCUACGGGUGAAAGCAGGGGAUCUUCGGACCUUGCGCGAUUGAAUGAGCCGAUGUCGGAUUAGCUAGUUGGCGGGGUAAAGGCCCACCAAGGCGACGAUCCGUAGCUGGUCUGAGAGGAUGAUCAGCCACACUGGAACUGAGACACGGUCCAGACUCCUACGGGAGGCAGCAGUGGGGAAUAUUGGACAAUGGGCGCAAGCCUGAUCCAGCCAUACCGCGUGGGUGAAGAUGGCCUUCGGGUUGUAAAGCCCUUUUGUUGGGAAAGAAAAGCAGCAGGUUAAUACCCCGCUGUUCUGACGGUACCCAAAGAAUAAGCACCGGCUAACUUCGUG